UACGGGGGGGGUAAGCGUUGUUCGGAAUUACUGGGCGUAAAGCGCACGUAGGCGGACAUUUAAGUCAGGGGUGAAAUCCCAGAGCUCAACUCUGGAACUGCCUUUGAUACUGGGUGUCUUGAGUAUGGAAGAGGUGAGUGGAAUUCCGAGUGUAGAGGUGAAAUUCGUAGAUAUUCGGAGGAACACCAGUGGCGAAGGCGGCUCACUGGUCCAUUACUGACGCUGAGGUGCGAAAGCGUGGGGAGCAAACAGG
Molecule: ribosomal RNA, 253 nt
Filed under: uncultured bacterium
Lineage: Bacteria
Description: partial 16S ribosomal RNA
Rfam family: Bacterial small subunit ribosomal RNA
Source: RNAcentral